This 575-nucleotide ribosomal RNA is filed under the name Hanseniaspora guilliermondii. RNAcentral's name for it is "partial large subunit ribosomal RNA". It matches the Rfam family "Eukaryotic large subunit ribosomal RNA", at positions 78 to 667 of the family's 3401-position model. The record is from RNAcentral. Lineage: Eukaryota; Fungi; Ascomycota; Saccharomycetes; Saccharomycodales; Saccharomycodaceae.
CCUUAGUUACGGCGAGUGAGCGGUAAAAGCUCAAAUUUGAAAUCUGGUACUUUCAGUGCCCGAGUUGUAAUUUGUAGAAUUUGUCUUUGAUUAGGUCCUUGUCUAUGUUCCUUGGAACAGGACGUCAUAGAGGGUGAGAAUCCCGUUUGGCGAGGAUACCUUUUCUCUGUAAGACUUUUUCGAAGAGUCGAGUUGUUUGGGAAUGCAGCUCAAAGUGGGUGGUAAAUUCCAUCUAAAGCUAAAUAUUGGCGAGAGACCGAUAGCGAACAAGUACAGUGAUGGAAAGAUGAAAAGAACUUUGAAAAGAGAGUGAAAAAGUACGUGAAAUUGUUGAAAGGGAAGGGCAUUUGAUCAGACAUGGUGUUUUUUGCAUGCACUCGCCUCUCGUGGGCUUGGGCCUCUCAAAAAUUUCACUGGGCCAACAUCAGUUCUGGCAGCAGGAUAAAUCAUUAAGAAUGUAGCUACCUCGGUAGUGUUAUAGCUUAUUGGAAUACUGCUAGCUGGGAUUGAGGACUGCGCUUCGGCAAGGAUGUUGGCAUAAUGGUUAAAUGCCGCCCGUCUUGAACCACCGGACC